GGUGGAGAAAGCUCAUCAUCGGGGGCCCGUGCUGAGUGCUCAUCACUCCCAGGCCACUGGGAAGGUCUAAGACUGGGGCUUCCUGCAGCCCUAACUGGGCCCUCCCUGAGUGGAGAGGUGAGCUCCCAGAGAGCAGGGCUCCACACGGAUGCCUCCCUCACUUGGAACAGACUCACGACCAAUGCAGAGUGAGUUCAAUGGCUGAGGUGAGGUGCCUUGAUGGACAUCAUAACCCAAUUCAGACUACUCUUCCCCGCC
Cricetulus griseus (Chinese hamster) is the source of this 258-nucleotide ribozyme. It matches the Rfam family "Nuclear RNase P". Rfam says of the family: Ribonuclease P (RNase P) is a ubiquitous endoribonuclease, found in archaea, bacteria and eukarya as well as chloroplasts and mitochondria. Its best characterised activity is the generation of mature 5'-ends of tRNAs by cleaving the 5'-leader elements of precursor-tRNAs. Cellular RNase Ps are ribonucleoproteins. The record is from Ensembl. Lineage: Eukaryota; Metazoa; Chordata; Mammalia; Rodentia; Cricetidae.